CAGUUCGGUCCCUAUCCGUCGUGGGCGCAGGAAGUUUGAGAGGAGUUGUCCUUAGUACGAGAGGACCGGGAUGAACGGACCACUGGUGCAUCUGUUGUCUUACCAAAGGCAUAGCAGAGAAGCCAAGUCUGGAAGGGAUAAACGCUGAAGGCAUCUAAGCGUGAAGCCCCCCUCAAGAUAAGACUUCCCAUCCAGAAAUGGAGUAAGACCCCUUAGAGACUAUGAGGUAGAUAGGCUUAGGCUGUAAGUGCAGUAAUGCAUGUAGGUACUAAGUACUAACGGUUCGAGGGUUUGACCUAA
This 300-nucleotide ribosomal RNA is filed under the name Lachnospiraceae bacterium. RNAcentral describes it as "partial 23S ribosomal RNA". It matches the Rfam family "Bacterial large subunit ribosomal RNA", at positions 2627 to 2925 of the family's 2925-position model. Lineage: Bacteria; Bacillati; Bacillota; Clostridia; Lachnospirales; Lachnospiraceae. The record is from RNAcentral.